This is a long non-coding RNA of Boleophthalmus pectinirostris (great blue-spotted mudskipper), 2831 nucleotides long. RefSeq lists it as uncharacterized. NCBI's taxonomy places the organism in Eukaryota, Metazoa, Chordata, Actinopteri, Gobiiformes, Gobiidae. The record is from RefSeq and is a predicted model, not a curated record. The transcript has 3 exons.
AAAGCAUGGGUCAGAGGCGCUCUCGAAGCAUUAACAUGAUAAUUUAUUCGAUAAAAAUGUAUGGACAAACCAAAAAAAAGAGACAAGGAAAAAAAAAAACUGUAAGGACCAGACAAAAACUACACCUUAUAAAAUGUUGCCUCCAUGAGGUUAGCACAUACAGAAUGAUGGCCUGUCUUGGUUGAAAGCCCACUCACCACGGCAAGGUGCAGACCACGAGUGGGAACACAAGACCAGACGAGGACAAGACAAACUCUGACGGGACAACAGCAAGAUGAUGGAGCCGAAUGGUACAGUACAGAGAAGUUGCCAUUUUCACCAGAAGAUGCACAUGGUUGUCUUCAACAGUGGUAUCAAACAUGUGACCAUGCAGCCCUGGAAACAAAGUCUUGUUUGCACUGUAAAGAAGAACUUCUUUUCCACUGGCCAUAGACAGCCCGUGCCCUUGAGGAAGUUUGCCAGAGGUUGCUUUCAAGACCCGUUGGAAACAACGCUCUGCUUCUUUACAGACUGCAAUGAUUCCCUCAGAUGGCUUCUGCAAUCCUCCUCUAUCUUUCAGAAGAAGAAAAGGAUGGACGGGGGACUCAGAUGUUAUAGCGUCAGAGCAUGGUGUGCAAAGAUGUUUUUCCUUGAUUUUUUUGACAACAAACCCUGCAAUAUAGUUGAUGGCAGCCUCUUUGUACUCAGAGACAGCAUCAACAUCAGGACAGAGUGAGUAGUCAUGUUCAGACUGGGCUUCCUCAACAGGCUCCAGGUUGAACCUACGUGUGGUGUUAAUUGAGGCAGGUGUAAUGCCCAAGGUGCCUGUGUUAUCCAGCAGGAGACAGUUGCCUGUGCCAGUCUUUACCUGAUGCUUGACGAGAAGACGCUUGUAAGCUGCAGUGAACUGUGUGGUGGUGGGAUUGUUGUUGAAUCCACCACGUGCUCUGACAGAGGAGAAGAAAAGCUCUAGGUGGUCUUGACUGAGCUUAUAGGUCAGUAGAUAACGACACUGGGCAUCAUCCUUUUCCACAAGGUCAUGGAAGAUGUUCUGUACACUUCUUGCACUGGCAAUAAAACCAAUGAUGCAUGUUCUUCUUCUUCCAGAAUGCACAGGGUUCCCGUUGUUGUCUCUGAGCGAAAGUAGAGUUGACUCUGCUUUUUGAAGGAUCGCUGCAGUUCUGUCUUUGUUUGAUGCUCUCAUAGGUGCUUUGUAUAUCCCUUCCCAAGUGGAUUCCUGCUGUUGAGAACAUCAAAGGCAGCGUCAAUGGUUCUCAGGAAUUCUACUGUCUCCUCACAGCCUCUGAACUGUGGCAAUUGCAGUUGUUGGUUGCAAUAUUCCAGAGCAUCAGCCACACUACUACUGAAAACCUGUGUUGCCAGCUUUACCUUCAUCUUCUGUUUCUCCCACUUUAUAUGCGCCAUCUUUAACUUGUUCCCUAGUCUUAGACCCUCUCUCUCUUGUAACUCAUUUAGCUGAACAAGAUAUCGCCAUUGAAUUUUACCUUUUGAGGUUUGCAGUGUACCUCCUUCAGCCAGUGUAUUUCUGAGCAGCUUAACCAUGUGGCAGACAUCCAAAAGUACAUGGACCACUGAAUGGGUUGAUGGAUGUGGAAAUGAGGGCCGCAUUGAAUGUACAUCUAAAUUUGCACCAAGUGCUUUUGAGCAUAGAGAAAUGGCAAGAUGGGCCAUCACAUGUUAGAGAAACUAUACGUACCCCAACACUGUGCAGCCGUUGAAGGCAUUCACUCACGAUGUUUGCUCGUUCUUCCCCUGUGAGUCAAUCGAUGAAAAAAUAUAUGCCACUGGGAGUUUCCAUGAGUCAUCUAUGGCAACAACCAUAAGAACCAGAGCAUCUCUUGCUGGAGGAAGACUGUCAUCUGUGAUGCCUGAUCCCAGGUCCACAUAACCAUGAAACCUUCCAGCGCAAUAUUGAACAUGCUUUCGAAUGGCCAUUUCAUCCAGCAUCAAAGCACAAAUGGUCUCCUUACCUACCUUGUGUCUCUCCUGUACGUGGGCCUGAAGAGCAAUAAAAGACGCCUUUGUGAAGCCUGGAUCUGAUGACACUUCACGAUACCAGUUCCUGAUGGUCUCCGGAUGUGGUAAGGCCAAGUCAAAACACUCACGCACGUAGGUGUACGCCUUGGCAGAGUAAAAGUGAAGAGUCAAAGCAAAAGACUGCAAUUCCUCUGACACUUUAGACUUGUUUCCUUUUUCCAUUCUGGUAAGUAUUUCCUUUGUGACACCACUGAAAGAGUUCUCCAUCAUUUCAGCACAUCCUGUGGAAAUCAGGCUUUUGUCUUUCAGCUCUUCAAUAAUGGCAGACAGGGAGUCAGCUCUCUUCAUUAAUCGCCGGGUCCUGAGUUGUUGUGCUUUAAGUUUUUUACGACAGUGGUCCAGCUUUUCUUCGACAGAAAGUAACUGUGUUUCACACUGACGCUUUACAGUCCUAGGUGAUGCUAACAUUGCGUAACAAUGGUCCUUACUUGUGGAUGUCUGUACAGCUGUGACAGGGCGAGUUAACAUCUGUGGCGCACUAUUAAAAGACAAGUUACUGCUGAUUUCAGAGUUUGAGCUUUCAUACUCAAUAUCUCUGUCUUCAGUCAGCUCCAUGCCCUGAAUGUUGGCUGCAUAUGUAUGUUCCUUACCUGUUACAAAUGGUACUGCUUGUGUAGUGUCAAGCAUGCUGUGUAGCUGGUAUGUAGGGUCCAUACCUGUUGCAGUGGGAGAUGCAAUGCCAUUGCUGGGUGCACACUGACCUUUGUGGGAGUAGUCAAAAAUGGUAGGAACAGCUGAUGGUUGCAAAUAAGUCUUCCUACCCUUGAUAAGGAAGCACUCCUCUUCAAAGUGUG